UUUUCGGAUGGAUUUAAAGCAGCUUAGUGGCGGACGGGUGAGUAACGCGUGGGUAACCUGCCUCACACUGGGGGAUAACAGUUAGAAAUAGCUGCUAAUACCGCAUAAGCGCACAGUUCCGCAUGGAACAGUGUGAAAAACUCCGGUGGUGUGAGAUGGACCCGCGUCUGAUUAGCCAGUUGGCGGGGUAACGGCCCACCAAAGCGACGAUCAGUAGCCGGCCUGAGAGGGUGAACGGCCACAUUGGGACUGAGACACGGCCCAAACUCCUACGGGAGGCAGCAGUGGGGAAUAUUGCACAAUGGGGGAAACCCUGAUGCAGCGACGCCGCGUGAGUGAAGAAGUAUUUCGGUAUGUAAAGCUCUAUCAGCAGGGAAGAAAGUGACGGUACCUGAAUAAGAAGCCCCGGCUAACUACGUGCCAGCAGCCGCGGUAAUACGUAGGGGGCAAGCGUUAUCCGGAUUUACUGGGUGUAAAGGGAGCGUAGACGGCAAGGCAAGUCUGAAGUGAAAGCCCGGUGCUUAACGCCGGGACUGCUUUGGAAACUGUUUAGCUGGAGUGCCGGAGAGGUAAGCGGAAUUCCUAGUGUAGCGGUGAAAUGCGUAGAUAUUAGGAAGAACACCAGUGGCGAAGGCGGCUUACUGGACGGUAACUGACGUUGAGGCUCGAAA
This 671-nucleotide ribosomal RNA is filed under the name uncultured bacterium. Its description in RNAcentral is "bacterial SSU rRNA". It matches the Rfam family "Bacterial small subunit ribosomal RNA", at positions 71 to 758 of the family's 1533-position model. The record is from RNAcentral.